This 429-nucleotide ribosomal RNA is filed under the name Rodentibacter pneumotropicus. RNAcentral's name for it is "bacterial SSU rRNA". It matches the Rfam family "Bacterial small subunit ribosomal RNA", at positions 62 to 486 of the family's 1533-position model. Lineage: Bacteria; Pseudomonadati; Pseudomonadota; Gammaproteobacteria; Pasteurellales; Pasteurellaceae. The record is from RNAcentral.
UCGAACGGUAACAGGAGAAAGCUUGCUUUCUUGCUGACGAGUGGCGGACGGGUGAGUAAUGCUUGGGAAUCUGGCUUAUGGAGGGGGAUAACUACUGGAAACGGUAGCUAAUACCGCAUAAGGUCUAAGGACAAAAGGGGGCGUAAGCUCUUGCCAUAAGAUGAGCCCAAGUGGGAUUAGGUAGUUGGUGAGGUAAUGGCUCACCAAGCCUGCGAUCUCUAGCUGGUCUGAGAGGAUGACCAGCCACACCGGGACUGAGACACGGCCCGGACUCCUACGGGAGGCAGCAGUGGGGAAUAUUGCGCAAUGGGGGGAACCCUGACGCAGCCAUGCCGCGUGAAUGAAGAAGGCCUUCGGGUUGUAAAGUUCUUUCGGUGAUGAGGAAGGUGAUAAGGUUAAUACCCUUAUUAAUUGACGUUAGUCACAGAA